GACGUAGGGCGCGAGCGUUGUCCGGAAUUAUUGGGCGUAAAGAGCUCGUAGGCGGUUUGUUGCGUCGGCUGUGAAAUCCCGAGGCUCAACCUCGGGUCUGCAGUCGAUACGAGCAAACUAGAGUGUUGCAGGGGAGACUGGAAUUCCUGGUGUAGCGGUGAAAUGCGCAGAUAUCAGGAGGAACACCGGUGGCGAAGGCGGGUCUCUGGGCAACAACUGACGCUGAGGAGCGAAAGCGUGGGGAGCGAACAGG
Molecule: ribosomal RNA, 253 nt
Filed under: uncultured bacterium
Lineage: Bacteria
Description: partial 16S ribosomal RNA
Rfam family: Bacterial small subunit ribosomal RNA
Source: RNAcentral